Molecule: ribosomal RNA, 328 nt
Filed under: Harmonia quadripunctata (cream-streaked ladybird beetle)
Lineage: Eukaryota; Metazoa; Arthropoda; Insecta; Coleoptera; Coccinellidae
Description: partial 12S ribosomal RNA
Source: RNAcentral
UUAGAUACCCUAUUAUUUUAAAUGUAAAUAUUAAAACUAAGUGAUUAAUAGUUAAGUUCUUUAAAGCUAAAUAAUUUGGCGGUAUUUUUACUUUUCAGAGGAACCUGUUCCAUAAAUGAUAAUCCACGAUUAGAAAUACUUUAAUUAGAAAUUUUUAUAUCGUCGUUGUUAAAUAUUUUAAUAGAAUAUAAUAUUUAAUUAAUUUUUUAAAUUAAAAAUCAGAUCAAGGUGAAGUUUAUAUUAAAGAGGAAAUGGGUUACAUUAAAUUUAAUUUAUGGAUUAUUAAUUUUAAAAAUUUUAUGAAAUUGGAUUUGACAGUAAUUAAUUA